This 100-nucleotide signal recognition particle RNA is filed under the name Bacillota bacterium. Its description in RNAcentral is "signal recognition particle sRNA small type". It matches the Rfam family "Bacterial small signal recognition particle RNA". From Rfam's summary of the family: The signal recognition particle (SRP) is a universally conserved ribonucleoprotein involved in the co-translational targeting of proteins to membranes. Archaeal SRP consists of a 7S RNA and homologues of the eukaryotic SRP19 and SRP54 proteins. In most bacteria, the SRP consists of a 4.5S RNA and the Ffh protein (a homologue of the eukaryotic SRP54 protein). Lineage: Bacteria; Bacillati; Bacillota. The record is from RNAcentral.
GCCCGGGUCCUGCGCAAUGGGAUGCUGUGAACCUCGUCAGGUCCGGAAGGAAGCAGCGAUAAGCGGAUUUUCCUGUGUGCCGCAGAUAAGCCUGGGUUCA